This 319-nucleotide ribosomal RNA is filed under the name uncultured bacterium UB1. RNAcentral describes it as "bacterial SSU rRNA". It matches the Rfam family "Bacterial small subunit ribosomal RNA", at positions 23 to 344 of the family's 1533-position model. The record is from RNAcentral.
CUCAGGAUGAACGCUAGCGGGAGGCCUAACACAUGCAAGCCGAGCGGUAUUGUUUCUUCGGAAAUGAGAGAGCGGCGUACGGGUGCGUAACACGUGUGCAACCUGCCUUUAUCUGGGGGAUAGCCUUUCGAAAGGAAGAUUAAUACUCCAUAAUAUAUUGAACGGCAUCGUUUAAUAUUGAAAGCUCCGGCGGAUAGAGAUGGGCACGCGCAAGAUUAGCUAGUUGGUGAGGUAACGGCUCACCAAGGCGAUGAUCUUUAGGGGGCCUGAGAGGGUGAUCCCCCACACUGGUACUGAGACACGGACCAGUAUCGNACGA